Molecule: ribosomal RNA, 429 nt
Filed under: Chloroflexota bacterium
Lineage: Bacteria; Bacillati; Chloroflexota
Description: Chloroflexi bacterium partial 16S ribosomal RNA
Rfam family: Bacterial small subunit ribosomal RNA
Source: RNAcentral
UGGGGAAUAUUGCACAAUGGGCGCAAGCCUGAUGCAGCCAUGCCGCGUGUAUGAAGAAGGCCUUCGGGUUGUAAAGUACUUUCAGCGGGGAGGAAGGGAGUAAAGUUAAUACCUUUGCUCAUUGACGUUACCCGCAGAAGAAGCACCGGCUAACUCCGUGCCAGCAGCCGCGGUAAUACGGAGGGUGCAAGCGUUAAUCGGAAUUACUGGGCGUAAAGCGCACGCAGGCGGUUUGUUAAGUCAGAUGUGAAAUCCCCGGGCUCAACCCGGGAAUUGCAUCUGAUACUGGUCAGCUAGAGUCUUGUAGAGGGGGGUAGAAUUCCAUGUGUAGCGGUGAAAUGCGUAGAGAUGUGGAGGAAUACCGGUGGCGAAGGCGGCCCCCUGGACAAAGACUGACGCUCAGGUGCGAAAGCGUGGGGAGCAAACAGG